Molecule: long non-coding RNA, 417 nt
Filed under: Lathyrus oleraceus (garden pea)
Lineage: Eukaryota; Viridiplantae; Streptophyta; Magnoliopsida; Fabales; Fabaceae
Description: Pisum sativum (pea) long non-coding RNA (PSAT_LNC005032)
Source: RNAcentral
GGACUCUUUGACAUUUUAACUGUUAUCUGAGUCAUAAUGUUUUGUAUUAUUGCAUGUGUUUCUUUUAGGAAUAUGAAUUUUUGUCCAACAUAACAUUUGAAGUAGACAUCUUAAAUUUUCCAAUGCACUUGGUCCCACCUCAAAAUAAUUAAAAAUGAGUGAGGUAGGUCCUUGCGAACUUGACCCAAAAUUAGGGUUUCUGUCAAAACAUGUGUAUGUGAAUUUUGCCAAAAGGGACCAAAUUCAAGCCCUUCAACAUAACAAUAACAAGUCCUUGAAUUAGGGUUUCUGACCUAUAAAUUUUUGUUUUAUGAUAUGUGUUUAUUUUAGAAUUAUGAAAGAAACUUAAUGUUUGGAGAAUACACAAAGAUAAAUUUGACAUAAUACGAAUUGAUAUUAAUAAAAUUUGGAUUUUAC